This 325-nucleotide ribosomal RNA is filed under the name Allapsidae sp. RNAcentral describes it as "SSU rRNA". It matches the Rfam family "Eukaryotic small subunit ribosomal RNA", at positions 634 to 955 of the family's 1831-position model. Lineage: Eukaryota; Cercozoa; Glissomonadida; Viridiraptoridae. The record is from RNAcentral.
GAUUUCUGGUUUGAUGUACCUGUCCCGCCGAAGCAAUUCGUGUGAGUGACGGAGUAUGUCUGCCAUCUUUCUAGAAAGCCCAAGCUAUCCUUUACUGGACCGGUUUGGGUCAUCUAGAUCUUUUACUUUGAAAAAAUUAGAGUGUUUCAAGCAGGCGUUUUGCUAUGAAUACAUUAGCAUGGAAUAAUAAUUUAGGACUUCGGUUCUAUUUUGUUGGUUUCUAGGACUGAAGUAAUGAUUGAUAGGGAUAGUUGGGGGUGCUAGUAUUCAGCGGCCAGAGGUGAAAUUCUCGGAUUCGCUGAAGACUAACUUAUGCGAAAGCAUU